GAUGAACGCUGGCGGCGUGCCUAAUACAUGCAAGUCGAGCGAGGUAGCUUGCUACCUAGCGGCGAACGGGUGAGUAACACGUAGGUAACCUGCCUUUGAGACUGGGAUACCCGAGGGAAACUUCGGCUAAUACCGGAUAACAACGGGGAUGGCAUCAUCUCCGCUUGAAAGGUGCGUUUGCACCACUCUUAGAUGGACCUGCGGCACAUUAGCUAGUUGGUGAGAUAACAGCCCACCAAGGCGAGGAUGUGUAGCCGACCUGAGAGGGUAAACGGCCACAAUGGGAUUGAGACACGGCCCAUACUCC
RNAcentral lists this ribosomal RNA (307 nucleotides) under uncultured Anaeroplasmataceae bacterium. RNAcentral's name for it is "bacterial SSU rRNA". It matches the Rfam family "Bacterial small subunit ribosomal RNA", at positions 28 to 339 of the family's 1533-position model. The record is from RNAcentral. Lineage: Bacteria; Bacillati; Mycoplasmatota; Mollicutes; Anaeroplasmatales; Anaeroplasmataceae.